CCUCUCAUGGCGUAGUGAUAACGCGCCCCAACUAGAGAUCGGGGAGUCGUGAGUUCGAUUCUCACUGAGAAGA
This is a non-coding RNA of Aedes aegypti (yellow fever mosquito), 73 nucleotides long. Lineage: Eukaryota; Metazoa; Arthropoda; Insecta; Diptera; Culicidae. The record is from Rfam.